UUAUACCGUGAAACUGCGAAUGGCUCAUUAAAUCAGUUAUCGUUUAUUUGAUAGUACCUUACUACUUGGAUAACCGUGGUAAUUCUAGAGCUAAUACAUGCUAAAAACCCCGACUUCGGGAGGGGUGUAUUUAUUAGAUAAAAAACCAAUGCCCUUCGGGGCUCUUUGGUGAUUCAUGAUAACUUAACGGAUCGCAUGGCCUUGCGCCGGCGACGGUUCAUUCAAAUUUCUGCCCUAUCAACUUUCGAUGGUAAGGUAUUGGCUUACCAUGGUUUCAACGGGUAACGGGGAAUUAGGGUUCGAUUCCGGAGAGGGAGCCUGAGAAACGGCUACCACAUCCAAGGAAGGCAGCAGGCGCGCAAAUUACCCAAUCCCGACACGGGGAGGUAGUGACAAUAAAUACUGAUACAGGGCUCUUUUGGGUCUUGUAAUCGGAAUGAGUACAAUUUAAACCCCUUAACGAGGAACAAUUGGAGGGCAAGUCUGGUGCCAGCAGCCGCGGUAAUUCCAGCUCCAAUAGCGUAUAUUAAAGUUGUUGCAGUUAAAAAGCUCGUAGUUGAACCUUGGGCCUGGCUGGCCGGUCCGCCUCACCGCGUGUACUGGUCCGGCCGGGCCUUUCCUUCUGGAGAACCCCAUGCCCUUCACUGGGCGUGUGGGGGAACCAGGACUUUUACUUUGAAAAAAUUAGAGUGUUCAAAGCAGGCCUUUGCUCGAAUACGUUAGCAUGGAAUAAUAGAAUAGGACGUGCGAUCCUAUUUUGUUGGUUUCUAGGACCGCCGUAAUGAUUAUAGGGACAGUCGGGGGCAUCAGUAUUCAAUUGUCA
Molecule: ribosomal RNA, 823 nt
Filed under: Phoma albiziae
Lineage: Eukaryota; Fungi; Ascomycota; Dothideomycetes; Pleosporales; Didymellaceae
Description: SSU rRNA
Rfam family: Eukaryotic small subunit ribosomal RNA
Source: RNAcentral